GACGAACGCUGGCGGCGUGCUUAACACAUGCAAGUCGAACGGAAAGGCCCUGCUUUUGUGGGGUGCUCGAGUGGCGAACGGGUGAGUAACACGUGAGUACCCUGUCCUUGACUUUGGGAUAACUUCAGGAAACUGGGGCUAUUACCGGAUAGGAGUUCUUGCCGUUUGGUGGGGGUUGGUAAGUUUCGGCGGUUGGGGAUGGACUCGCGGCCUAUCAGCUUGUUGGUGGGGUAGUGGCUUACCAAGGCCUUGACGGGUAGCCGGCCUGAGAGGGUGACCGGCCACAUUGGGACUGAGAUACGGCCCAGACUCCUACGGGAGGCAGCAGUGGGGAAUAUUGCACAAUGGGCGGAAGCCUGAUGCAGCAACGCCGCGUGCGGGAUGACGGCCUUCGGGUUGUAAACCGCUUUCGCCUGUGACGAAGCGUGAGUGACGGUAAUGGGUAAAGAAGCACCGGCUAACUACGUG
This 468-nucleotide ribosomal RNA is filed under the name uncultured bacterium. RNAcentral's name for it is "partial 16S ribosomal RNA". It matches the Rfam family "Bacterial small subunit ribosomal RNA", at positions 28 to 507 of the family's 1533-position model. The record is from RNAcentral.